GGAGUUAAGAAAUGUAGGUACGCUAAUAUCGUAUCUAUUUGACAAAGGCUCCAAAGGAAGCCACGGCUAACUCUGUGCCAGCAGCCGCGGUAAUACAGAGGUGGCAAGCGUUGUUCGGAAUUAUUGGGCGUAAAGAGCACGUAGGUGGAUUUGUAAGUCAGAUGUGAAAGCCUUCUGUUCAACGGGAGAAUUGCAUCUGAAACUACAGACCUUGAGUAUAGGAGGGGAGAGUGGAACUUCUGGU
Molecule: ribosomal RNA, 244 nt
Filed under: uncultured anaerobic ammonium-oxidizing bacterium
Lineage: Bacteria
Description: partial 16S ribosomal RNA
Rfam family: Bacterial small subunit ribosomal RNA
Source: RNAcentral